This 476-nucleotide ribosomal RNA is filed under the name uncultured bacterium. RNAcentral describes it as "bacterial SSU rRNA". It matches the Rfam family "Bacterial small subunit ribosomal RNA", at positions 28 to 474 of the family's 1533-position model. The record is from RNAcentral.
GACGAACGCNGGCGGCGUGCUUAACACAUGCAAGUCGAACGAAGAGCGAUGGAAGCUUGCUUCUAUCAAUCUUAGUGGCGAACGGGUGAGUAACGCGUAAUCAACCUGCCCUUCAGAGGGGGACAACAGUUGGAAACGACUGCUAAUACCGCAUACGAUCUAAUCUCGGCAUCGAGGAUAGAUGAAAGGUGGCCUCUACAUGUAAGCUAUCACUGAAGGAGGGGAUUGCGUCUGAUUAGCUAGUUGGAGGGGUAACGGCCCACCAAGGCGAUGAUCAGUAGCCGGUCUGAGAGGAUGAACGGCCACAUUGGGACUGAGACACGGCCCAGACUCCUACGGGAGGCAGCAGUGGGGAAUCUUCCGCAAUGGACGAAAGUCUGACGGAGCAACGCCGCGUGAGUGAUGACGGCCUUCGGGUUGUAAAGCUCUGUUAAUCGGGACGAAAGNCCUUCUUGCGAAUAGNGAGAAGGAUGACG